RNAcentral lists this long non-coding RNA (1791 nucleotides) under Vigna radiata. RNAcentral's name for it is "long non-coding RNA (VRAD_LNC008174)". The record is from RNAcentral. Lineage: Eukaryota; Viridiplantae; Streptophyta; Magnoliopsida; Fabales; Fabaceae.
AAGUCAAGAUCAAGGGGAACAACCAAUAUGGAUUCAAAUGACCAAUAAUUAACUGAACAUGUCAAUAUAAGCAGAAUAUACAUCAAACAAAUGGAUUAAAGGUAUGAAAGCCGAACCGAGAAGUUAAUGUCUUUGGCUCUUCAAUGCUUUAAUCUUCAACAAUAUCGUCAGUGGGAGUUACUCGUAUUGCCUAAGUUGUUAACUAAAAAUAUCCAUAACUAAAAAUAUCUACUACUGAUUUAUAAAGUUUGAAAGUAAGUAUAUAAAUCGUAUAUCAUGGUAUUCCAUAUUUUUAGGUAUAAAUAUUGGCAAAUCAUAAAAUAUUAUUAGAUCUUCAAUAACUAAACAAUUCAAACAACUUAAUAUAAAAACAAUUUGAAUAUUAUAUGUUUGGGUGUAGUCAGGAUUUCAGGGUUAUGCAUAACUACUUAAUUUAUGUAUCUAAAUGAUUCACCACUUUCAACCAUUUCAUUUUGUAUAUUAAAGACAAGACACAAGCAAUGGAAAAUCUGAUAUGUUUUGAUUGAAACGGAUAAUUGUGAGCAGUCCUAAUCUCAUAUCAGGAGUUGGGAUAGAAAUUGAAAAAAAAAAACACAUGUUUAUGAAAAAAAAACUCAUUAAAAAAAAGACACUCAUGAAAAAUAAGACAAGACUAAGCUUUCCCCAUGUUUGUUUCAACCCAUGUAGGGAAUGCAAAUACUCUAAUGCAAGAACCUAACAUUGAAUAAAAACUCAUGUUCUAGACAAUGUAAGUGAAUAAAAAAGAACCAAAGCUAUAUAUUCCACUGAAUGAAAAGUAAUAAGUUAUCAAGAAUGAAAAAUCUCAUAUUAGCUCUCUUAGACAUUUAAACAAACAGUUUAUGCGCAGAAUUAACAUAUAAUAUUCAGAAUUAAGACAAAACAAAUUAAUAUAAAUUCAACAUUACAUGAAUCAAAGAAAAACAACCAAACAGAGACGUAAAACAGUAUAAACACAAUAAUGAAUCAAAUAAAAACAAGACACAAAGGAGAAAAGAUACUUAGCUUUUGAAGCGCGUGGAAGAACCAAAGCUCUGAUUACCACCUCAUGGAAGAGGCUCCAAGGAAGAGGACUAAAUACGCGACAAGAUCUGAUUUAAAGGUCCUUGAAACUUCUCCGAGAAUGAAACGCAGCGGAAUAACGAGGAAUUAUAGAUCGAGAGAGAUUCUACCAAAACGUAAGUGCGAUAACCUUCGCAGUAACCCUAGGCACAAAUAAAAGAGAGAAUUUGAAGGAGAACGAACCAAAUUAGAGAUAGGACUCAAAAAAACCCUAAAUAGAGUAAAAAUCCUAAUCUGAACCGAAGGAACCCUAGAAAAGGAGGAAAAUUAAAAUGAACCGAUUAAUCGGUUCAAAAAUGAGAUUGAAAGGUGGAAAAGAGUUUUCAAUCAAAGGAAAAGCUUUAAAACGGAGCAAAAGAGGAUUUAAUUGGUGAAACUUGAAGAAAAUGGUGAAAGGAUGACGAAACCUUAAAAGGAGAUGAAAAUCAUCGGUGGAAGAGGAAAUUUGUUGUUGAAUAAGCUGAGGCAAUGAAGAAAUAUGAAAUAAGAUGAGGAAUUUGUGAAGAGAAAGGAAGCUUACGGUUGAUGGUGAGCUCUGAAGAAGAGAAUACUCUCCGAAGAAGAACGCAAGAAUGAAGAGAAAUUCGGGACCAACGUGAAAUAGCGAAGAGAUAUUAUGACUGGUUUCUAGAGAUCAGUCGUAAUAUAUUUAAAAAAUUUCACCUUUUGUCUAACACAUUUUAUAUUAUGACGGAUGUAUAAAAAUACGUC